GUCCUCCCUAAAUGUGCCAUAAUUUUAUAUACUUCCAUCAGGUAUCCCCUCAGUCUCCAAUCCGAGUUUGUCCAAUCUGGAAUAUAAUGUAUUACAGCUAAUAUCCUCUAAUUCAGGCAGCCUUUUUGCUGAUCUGGUAGAUCAGCACCCUCCUUUAGACUGAUGGAAUAGGGGAGAGAAAGCUGGAAAAGAUGGGUGGGACAAAGCCCGGCAAGUGAUAUGUGGAUUCAGAUGGUUGAUUGGUAGGUGGGUUGAGAUAAUGACAAGAGCAGGAAGUGAAAGAGUGUCGCAUAAG
Amblyraja radiata (thorny skate) is the source of this 295-nucleotide long non-coding RNA. RefSeq lists it as uncharacterized. The record is from RefSeq and is a predicted model, not a curated record. Lineage: Eukaryota; Metazoa; Chordata; Chondrichthyes; Rajiformes; Rajidae. The transcript is spliced from 2 exons.